Papaver somniferum (opium poppy) is the source of this 3071-nucleotide long non-coding RNA. RefSeq lists it as uncharacterized. The transcript has 13 exons. NCBI's taxonomy places the organism in Eukaryota, Viridiplantae, Streptophyta, Magnoliopsida, Ranunculales, Papaveraceae. The record is from RefSeq and is a predicted model, not a curated record.
UAUCCUCUUUGCUUUCGAUCUUGAGACUGUAGCUCAAGAUUUUGAUGAUUUUAUUAGGGUUUAAUCUCAGGAUUUCUAUUGUAAUCUAGGGUUUGGUUUUGGGGUAAUCUAGGGUUUGGUUUUGGGAAGAGCAGCUGAGAAUGAGUCUAAAUCGGCAAGAAUGAGAAUGGGUUAAUUGAAGAUGGGGGUUUGAGAGUUCUUGGAUGAUGAUAUGAGUUGGCUUGAGAUAGAUUGGCAACCAGAUGAAGAAAUCGAUCGAGAAAAAAUAUUCCAGUUGCAAAGCUGUUGUUGGUAUUGCUACCAGAGAAGCUACAGCAAUGGGGCAAUGGAUUCUGGUGUGUGUGCUCUGAGACUUGCAGGGACUGAAUUUGGGAUUGCAACUGUUGGAGUUGGCUGAGCAGAUACAUGUACCUAAAGGUCAUGAUUUGUGCAUCAGGGUAUUUGAACAAUGGUGCUUGACAAGAAGGCAACGAUAUAUGUUAGCAAUCACUACAUAACAGAAUCUCCUUUCAUGCCGAAUGUAGAAGGUCUAGAAGAAGCCCAAUUUGAUGUGGAAUUAAUUCACUAAUAUUCUUUAUUCAGAUUUUUUAAAGGGGAAUAAUGGAUACAAGAACCUUCUUAAGAGUGCAUUGACAGGUGGUUGUAGUUGCUGAGAUCAGUCUGAAAAUAAAGGAAAAGGGCAUGAGUGUCUUCUCCCCUUUUGAAUCUCCUGGAAGGGCUGUUAAAAAUACUGGAUAAUUUCCGCAUUGCGCCAAAACUAACUUGGAGAGGCUAGGUCUGUUGCUGCGAGGUUAAGGUGGGAGAAGAACAGGCAGAGUAAAAGUGAAAAACAGGAACAGGUGGAGCGUGAAGCAAGGUUGAAGUUUGAACAACAACUUGAAAUUGCACGACAGGCUAGAGCGCAGGAGGAUAUUAGGCGGGAAAGAGAACAGCAGGAAUACAAUGAGCGUGUUUUAAAAGAACAGUUAGCACGGCAGCAGGUAUUUAUCAUUGACUGUAUGCAAACCUACAAUCCAUCAGCUGAUGUGUACCAGAACCUCUAAGAGCGGCCAAUGAAUAAGAUGAAAAGCAGGGGAUUUAAUUUGUAGGACGCUAAGUAGAAUCAGAAAGAAGAUGAUGAUGAAGAGGAAUAAAAGAAGAACUGAAAAAGUUGGUGUUUACAGGUUUUUGGUUGGUAUGAGUCGUAGUGUAAUUUAUCACCAAGAAUGCAACCCUCACAAACGAAAAGGAAGGUGAUGAUUAUCCUAUCAGAGCGAUGAAGUUUCCAUCUCUCCCUUCGUCCAUGUUGCUGUGCAGUUUGAGGACUCGGGCGAGCACAUUGUUGCAGGUGCUGGAGAACUCCAUCUUGAAAUCUGUUUGCAGAACUUGCAUGAGGACGAUUUCAUGGGAGGUGCGCGAAUUGUGAAGUCUGACCCUGCUGUUUCAUUCCGUGAGACUGUCCUAGAAAGAUCAUCUUGCAAAGAAGAUCUGGUGUUUCGGCCCCGACACCACUGGUCAAACCUCGGCUGCACAACCAAAGUAAGGUUUAAUCAUCUGUGGUUAAUUGUAGCGAUAGAAAAAUAUAUAAGGUUAAUAUCAAAACUUAAAAAGUCAUCUUUCUAUGGUUGCAAUCGACAUGGAACCCCAACGCAUCGUUCUUGCUUAGAUUGAUCUUAAUCGACAAUUCUAUUAUUGUUUACUAUAAGAGCUAUACUUGAACUAGGGUGUUUACCUCAAAGUAUUGUUACUCUACCAGACUCUUGCUGCAGACAGGAUGUUAACAAAACGUCAGUUCUGUUGGCCAAAAUUCUGUGGGUAAUUCUAUGAACAAUAGUCUGUCACCUGCUACAAAUUCUUCUGAUGCACAGCUUAAGGUUUUGUUAAUUCUGUAUCUUCUUCGUGAUUAAUUUGUUUUUGAUAUAACUUUCUUCUAUGUUACUGAUAAUUUUUGUUAUUUGACGUUAAUUGAUAUGAACUUGCCGCAAUAUUUAAGAAGAUUGGAGACAAGCAGACCUGCACUACUGGUUUGUAUGGAUUAUACCGAAUUACUCAACUAUACCCCAUCGUACACUACAGGAGUUACACUGGGUCAUCACUGGCAGGCUGCUGGCUUAAGCUUUUUUUAUCUUUUUGAUCAUUGGAAUUUUGUAGCUUAAUUCUCACUUUUUGAGACCAUGCCAGGUUUUGAUAUAAUUUCCCAACUUCAGAAUGCGAGCAAUGCAUUCCGAACAUACAUAGAAGAAGGGUUAGCUGAGAUAGAAAAGAAUGCUGCUGCCGGAAAAACACUUUCAAGUGUACCAAUGUCAAUGCCUCCUCCAGUUGCCUUAAAUCUUAUUAGUUUUGAUUAAAUUCAAUUCAAUGAAGCACUGGACAUAGGUAAGAGCGGUGAUUAAAUUCAAUUCAAUUGGUAUGAUGGAGAAUGUGCCUGUGAUGGCUAUUGAUGAUUCUGUGGUCGAAUGGAUUAAAUGAGUCUGUGGGGCUGUUUUAUGCCGAGAGUUCAGUGAAGAAUAAUUGUUUGCUGCUCGACUUUGGUGUGAGGUAUUGAUGACGGUAACUGGUGGCUGAUAGAGAAAACUCAUAACGGAGUUCAUUGAUGAUUUUGUUUGCUGACGGAAUUUGAUUUUACUGCCACUAUUAUUUGAACGGGAGAUGAUCUCACUGCUAUAAUUGGUGCGAGGACGCAAGACAUCAGUAUUUAUGCAACCAAUAUGUUAAGAGACCCGCAUAACAAAGUAAUUCAUAUCGUCUCACAUGCUUUAAGAACUUAAUGAUGUACAUAUUGUACUAUGUUCGAUGAUUUUUACAUAACAACAAGGAAAGACGUCCAUGUGCAAGGAAAUAAACGUUGGGUUGGUUGAGAGCAAGGGAUGUUUUAAUCUGACUUGCAAUGGAUGCCACCAAAAAAUCUAUGCAGAAAGAGAGCUGGUACGUUAGUCAUUCUGUGCAACUUUUUCAGGAUUGGAAAUCCCUGUUUGUGUAUCAAACAAUUAUUGUGGUUUGUGAAUUGUGGAAUAGUAACAGGUUUAUUGUAUGGAUUAAAUAAUUAGCUUUGUUUAAACGCGUAGAUACGACAUGGAGUUGUUGAAACAUGU